This 253-nucleotide ribosomal RNA is filed under the name uncultured bacterium. RNAcentral's name for it is "partial 16S ribosomal RNA". It matches the Rfam family "Bacterial small subunit ribosomal RNA", at positions 524 to 776 of the family's 1533-position model. The record is from RNAcentral.
UACGUAGGGUCCAAGCGUUGUUCGGAAUUACUGGGCGUAAAGCGCGCGUAGGCGGGUUCAUAAGUCGAUUGUGAAAUCCCAGGGCUCAACCUUGGAACUGCAGUCGAAACUGUGAAUCUUGAGUGCCUGAGAGGAUGGCGGAAUUCCCGGUGUAGUAGUGAAAUACGUAGAUAUCGGGAAGAACACCUGAGGCGAAGGCGGCUAUCUGGCGGUGCACUGACGCUGAGGCGCGAAAGCGUGGGGAGCAAACAGG